GCCCGCUCGCCGGAAGACCAAGGGUUCCUGUCCAACGUUAAUCGGGGCAGGGUGAGUCGACCCCUAAGGCGAGGCCGAAAGGCGUAGUCGAUGGGAAACAGGUUAAUAUUCCUGUACUUGGUGUUACUGCGAAGGGGGGACGGAGAAGGCUAUGUCAGCCGGGCGACGGUUGUCCCGGUUUAAGCAUGUAGGCGGAGGUUCCAGGUAAAUCCGGUACCUUAUUAACGCUGAGGUGUGAUGACGAGGCACUACGGUGCUGAAGUGAUAAAUGCCCUGCUUCCAGGAAAAGCCUCUAAGCAUCAGGUAACACGAAAUCGUACCCCAAACCGACACAGGUGGUCAGGUAAUCGUACCCCAAACCGACACAGGUGGUCAGGUAGAGAAUACCAAGGCGCUUGAGAGAACUCGGGUGAAGGAACUAGGCAAAAUGGUGCCGUAACUUCGGGAGAAGGCACGCUGAUAUGUAGGUGAAGCCCCUGCGGGUGGAGCUGAAAUCAGUCGAAGAUACCAGCUGGCUGCAACUGUUUAUUAAAAACACAGCACUGUGCAAACACGAAAGUGGACGUAUACGGUGUGACGCCUGCCCGGUGCCGGAAGGUUAAUUGAUGGGGUUAGCGGCAACGCGAAGCUCUUGAUCGAAGCCCCGGUAAACGGCGGCCGUAACUAUAACGGUCCUAAGGUUGGCCAGGCUGUCUCCACCCGAGACUCAGUGAAAUUGAACUCGCUGUGAAGAUGCAGUGUACCCGCGGCAAGACGGAAAGACCCCGUGAACCUUUACUAUAGCUUGACACUGAACACUGGUCCUUGAUGUGUAGGAUAGGUGGGAGGCUUUGAAGCGUGGACGCCAGUCUGCGUGGAGCCGACCUUGAAAUACCACCCUUUAAUGGCUGGUGUUCUAACGUGGACCCGUAAUCCGGGUUGCGGACAGUGUCUGGUGGGUAGUUUGACUGGGGCGGUCUCCUCCCAAAGAGUAACGGAGGAGCACGAAGGUUGGCUAAUCCUGGUCGGACAUCAGGAGGUUAGUGCAAUGGCAUAAGCCAGCUUGACUGCGAGCGUGACGGCGCGAGCAGGUGCGAAAGCAGGUCAUAGUGAUCCGGUGGUUCUGAAUGGAAGGGCCAUCGCUCAACGGAUAAAGUAUGGCUGUUCGCCAUUUAAAGUGGUACGCGAGCUGGGUUUAGAACGUCGUGAGACAGUUCGGUCCCUAUCUGCCGUGGGCGCUGGAGAAUUGAGGGGGGCUGCUCCUAGUACGAGAGGACCGGAGUGGACGCAUCACUGGUGUUCGGGUUGUCAUGCCAAUGGCACUGCCCGGUAGCUAAAUGCGGAAGAGAUAAGUGCUGAAAGCAUCUAAGCACGAAACUUGCCCCGAGAUGAGUUCUCCCUGAGACUUUAAGUCUCCUGAAGGAACGUUGAAGACGACGACGUUGAUAGGUCGGGUGUGUAAGCGCAGCGAUGCGUUGAGCUAACCGAUACUAAUGAACCGUGAGGCUUAACCUU
This 1494-nucleotide ribosomal RNA is filed under the name Enterobacter hormaechei. RNAcentral describes it as "partial 23S ribosomal RNA". It matches the Rfam family "Bacterial large subunit ribosomal RNA", at positions 1328 to 2925 of the family's 2925-position model. The record is from RNAcentral. Lineage: Bacteria; Pseudomonadati; Pseudomonadota; Gammaproteobacteria; Enterobacterales; Enterobacteriaceae.